GACGAACGCUGGCGGCGUGCUUAACACAUGCAAGUCGAACGAUGAAGCCGGAGCUUGCUCCGGUGGAUUAGUGGCGAACGGGUGAGUAACACGUGAGCAAUCUGCCCUUGACUCUGGGAUAACUGCGGGAAACUGUAGCUAAUACCGGAUACGACACCUUGGGGCAUCCCAGGGCGUGGAAAGAAUUUCGGUCAAGGAUGAGCUCGCGGCCUAUCAGCUAGUUGGUGAGGUAAUGGCUCACCAAGGCGACGACGGGUAGCCGGCCUGAGAGGGUAGCCGGCCAAACUGGAACUGAGACACGGUCCAGACUCCUACGGGAGGCAGCAGUGGGGAAUAUUGCACAAUGGGCGAAAGCCUGAUGCAGCAACGCCGCGUGAGGGAUGAAGGCCUUCGGGUUGUAAACCUCUUUUAGCAGGGAAGAAGCGAAAGUGACGGUACCUGCAGAAAAAGCACCGGCUAACUACGUGCCAGCAGCCGCCGCGG
RNAcentral lists this ribosomal RNA (483 nucleotides) under uncultured bacterium. RNAcentral describes it as "partial 16S ribosomal RNA". It matches the Rfam family "Bacterial small subunit ribosomal RNA", at positions 28 to 523 of the family's 1533-position model. The record is from RNAcentral.